AGGCCAAACACUACUUGUAUUGUGAAGUAAUGCUGCAGAAUUUGGAUUAUGCAACUCAGAAACAAGGAAUUGGAGAUUGAAGGCUAUGAAAAUAUUUCAAGAAAGAGAGUGCUUAUAUGGCAAAGGAAGAAGGCAAAAGCCCCGAAGGCUUUGAGGCAAGCCUGCUACAGCAUCAAUAAUCUGAAUUAACUUCUCUCUGGUCCCUCUAACACAAACCCAGGACCUUCAGAAGGGGUUUCUUUGGUGACAAGGAAGAUUGAUGUACACCCUCAGAAGAGGAUAGCAAUGUCAAGGCUCCUACAUCCAAAGCUUCCAAGACAAAUAUGAGUUGGUCUC
This is a long non-coding RNA of Dromiciops gliroides (monito del monte), 336 nucleotides long. RefSeq lists it as uncharacterized. Lineage: Eukaryota; Metazoa; Chordata; Mammalia; Microbiotheria; Microbiotheriidae. The transcript is spliced from 3 exons. The record is from RefSeq and is a predicted model, not a curated record.